CAGUGUGACAUGUUCUUCCCUGGUCAUAUCAGGUGGCCAAAAAGUAUGAGAGGUGGGGCUCUCUGCCACCUCCAAUGAACUGUCUCUGCACUUACUUCAUGGAGCUGGUGACACCCUCAGAGUCAUCCUCAAUUACAGAUUCAACUACAUGGAGCCAGGAAGUUUCUGGAUGGCCUGAGCUAACCAGGGCCCUUGUGGCCUAUGCAUUGGGUGAAUGGAUCCUAAGGCCUACAGACUUCCCUGAGGCUAUCUGGCUCUACCUUUAGGACCAUGAACACCCACCCAGACUUGAAGCUCACAGGCGGCAGGAGGAUGAAGAGAUGGUUUCCCGAGGUCCCUGGAGCCCUGAGUCCACCCUGUUCAUCCAGUAAACACUGACUGGGCAUCUCUUGCCAGAU
This 398-nucleotide long non-coding RNA is filed under the name Bos indicus x Bos taurus (hybrid cattle). RNAcentral's name for it is "lncRNA (ENSBIXG00005019298.1)". The record is from RNAcentral. Lineage: Eukaryota; Metazoa; Chordata; Mammalia; Artiodactyla; Bovidae.